GUUUGCUGGGUAGUCUCAGAGUUACUGCUGUGCAGCUUUGUAGUUCCACUCAAUCUGAAUGGUUUUACAAAAAUAAACAUUUAAAGAGCAUUAAGGUGACGGUUUCUGAGCUGUUUUAAAUUUCUACAAUCAUCAGAAGAUCUUCAGAGAACAUCUUCUGAAGCUUUCCUGAAGAUUCUGUUUUCUGGGCUGUUUAAAAAUGUGUGAAAGUAAACUUCAGGGAACACUCCCCAAAGGUUGCUGUUUACUAGAAGUGUUUCCUGCUGUCCCCGUUCUCUGGAAAGCUACUAAUAAAACACCCCUAAGGACUUACAGAGGGGCCGGGACAUGGAAGGAUUAAGCAGAAACGCAUGGAUUCCCGGCAGAAGGCUUGAUAACCUCCUACUUGCGGGAAAAGCGCUGCCUUCCUCCCGUAUUUUACACCGAAGCCGUGCGCUGCUCCCUGCAGGGUUUCUACGGGAGAAAGAUGGAUCAGACACGCAGGAAAGAUGCAUCAGAUCGCCUCAGAAAUCAAACCAUCAUGACGUACUCUGGACAUUAUAGUGCACGAUAUCAAUAUUUAACGACAUUUUAUCCACCUAUAGCCUAAAAAGUGGGGAUAAUAAAGGAGAAGUGCACUAGUUCUGCACAUAAAGUUCAGUUUGUUCAUCAAGAAUGUGAAAACAUCUAUUAUAUUAUUAUAUUGUUUUUACAAAGUAACUCUGGGAUGAUGCCUUUAGGGUUCAACAUGAAAUAUCCGACUAUUCAAAAUAAAC
Amphiprion ocellaris (clown anemonefish) is the source of this 755-nucleotide long non-coding RNA. The record is from Ensembl. Lineage: Eukaryota; Metazoa; Chordata; Actinopteri; Pomacentridae.